This 429-nucleotide ribosomal RNA is filed under the name Acidobacteriota bacterium. Its description in RNAcentral is "Acidobacteria bacterium partial 16S ribosomal RNA". It matches the Rfam family "Bacterial small subunit ribosomal RNA", at positions 355 to 776 of the family's 1533-position model. Lineage: Bacteria; Pseudomonadati; Acidobacteriota. The record is from RNAcentral.
UGGGGAAUUUUGGACAAUGGGGGAAACCCUGAUCCAGCCAUCCCGCGUGUGCGAUGAAGGCCUUCGGGUUGUAAAGCACUUUUGGCAGGAAAGAAACGUCAUGGGUUAAUACCCCGUGAAACUGACGGUACCUGCAGAAUAAGCACCGGCUAACUACGUGCCAGCAGCCGCGGUAAUACGUAGGGUGCAAGCGUUAAUCGGAAUUACUGGGCGUAAAGCGUGCGCAGGCGGUUCGGAAAGAAAGAUGUGAAAUCACAGAGCUCAACUUUGGAACUGCAUUUUUAACUACCGUGCUCGAGUGUGUGAGAGGGAGGUGGAAUUCCGCGUGUAGCAGUGAAAUGCGUAGAUGUGCGGAGGAAAACCGAUGGCGAAGGCAGCCUCCUGGGAUAACACUCACGCUCAUGCACGAAAGCGUGGGGAGCAAACAGG